UGGCGGACGGGUGAGUAAUGUCUGGGAAACUGCCUGAUGGAGGGGGAUAACUACUGGAAACGGUAGCUAAUACCGCAUAACAUCGCAAGACCAAAGAGGGGGACCUUCGGGCCUCUUGCCAUCGGAUGUGCCCAGAUGGGAUUAGCUAGUAGGUGGGGUAACGGCUCACCUAGGCGACGAUCCCUAGCUGGUCUGAGAGGAUGACCAGCCACACUGGAACUGAGACACGGUCCAGACUCCUACGGGAGGCAGCAUG
RNAcentral lists this ribosomal RNA (256 nucleotides) under uncultured bacterium. RNAcentral describes it as "partial 16S ribosomal RNA". It matches the Rfam family "Bacterial small subunit ribosomal RNA", at positions 96 to 353 of the family's 1533-position model. The record is from RNAcentral.